RNAcentral lists this long non-coding RNA (589 nucleotides) under Pandoravirus neocaledonia. RNAcentral describes it as "hypothetical ncRNA". The record is from RNAcentral.
AAGAGAUCCGCCCCAGCGAGGCAUCGCCCCGCGCACACUGAUCCGGCCUUUGGGCACGUCAUCCUUUUUUCGUGUCUUUUCUUUUGGGAGGGAGAGAGAGAGAGCGACUUUGCACGUCCGUGUCCGCUGCGACGGCCGCAAUAAAAAGGCACACCAUGGGCCUACCGCCUAUAUAUGGGCCUCGACGCAAACGCAUCCCAACGACGACGGCGAUGACGCCAUAUUCCUCCGCCGCCAGAGGCAUCCCAACCGACGAUCGACCCCCUUGGGCUCUGCGGCGGCGCCUCUGUGAGUGGGUUGCGACGAUGUGGUGCAAUCUGGCGCCAGAAAAAAUGCCGAAUGAUUCGGUUUGAUACCAGAGGGCGCUUGAGCGGCGGACCUCUUUGGCGACAGCAAUGCCGCGUCCUAGACUUUCCUUGUAUUUUGGCCGUGUGGACCGACCGCCGCGUAUCUGAGGCGCCUCCCAGAACGUAGGCCGGAGAAGGAGGGCCACGUUGCGCGCCGGUCGGAAGGACCAGAGAGCAAGAAACCCACCCAACGGACGCUGUCGCCCACAAGCAACCCCAUUGUUUGGAACUGGCGCCAGAUC